CCUACGGGAGGCAGCAGUGAGGAAUAUUGGUCAAUGGACGAGAGUCUGAACCAGCCAAGUAGCGUGAAGGAUGACUGCCCUAUGGGUUGUAAACUUCUUUUAUAUGGGAAUAAAACGUUCCACGUGUGGGAUUUUGUAUGUACCAUAUGAAUAAGGAUCGGCUAACUCCGUGCCAGCAGCCGCGGUAAUACGGAGGAUCCGAGCGUUAUCCGGAUUUAUUGGGUUUAAAGGGAGCGUAGGUUGAUUGUUAAGUCAGUUGUGAAAGUUUGCGGCUCAACCGUAAAAUUGCAGUUGAAACUGGCAGUCUUGAGUACAGUAGAGGUGGGCGGAAUUCGUGGUGUAGCGGUGAAAUGCUUAGAUAUCACGAAGAACUCCGAUUGCGAAGGCAGUUCACUGGACUGCAACUGACACUGAGGCUCGAAAGUGUGGGUAUCAAACAGGAUUAGAUAUCCCAGUAGUC
This 460-nucleotide ribosomal RNA is filed under the name uncultured bacterium. Its description in RNAcentral is "partial 16S ribosomal RNA". It matches the Rfam family "Bacterial small subunit ribosomal RNA", at positions 338 to 795 of the family's 1533-position model. The record is from RNAcentral.